UUUAUACCACCAUGAGUACUAAUGUGCAGGUGAUAAACCAGGCCACACAUUAAUUAUUAAAGCAGAACAGUAACCUUGCAAAAUGCUUUGAAUAUUGAUUUUGUUCUCUUUUGAUUGAGAAGAGGCCACGUAGUAAACCUUUGAAUCUUUUGACUUGCACGCCACAUGAAUCUGGAGAGUACCUUGUUCCUCUUUUUUUUUUAUAGCUUUAAAUAGAACAAAGUUGCAGCAUAGCACCCUCUGAGAAUCAUGGCUUCAGAUUGUCAUCUUCUCCUUCCUUUUCUUCCAGACUAGGUUCUUUUUGCCAUGCUUUAGAAUCCACUGUCUGAUAGAGCCUUUUGUGAACACUGUAGGUAAAAGUGCAGGCAGGGAGUUUGACAGCAAGUGCAGGCAGGAACUUUGAUAGCAGAGGCCAUUUCAUUGCUGGGAUUUGGUGGACAAGGUUACUAGGAGUACUUCCAAGAGAACAUCAAGGGUAGGAGGUAGGAGGCUUUCGGUGGUGACUGUUGUUGACUUCCAGAGCAGAUGACAUGACAUUCCACCGAUUGGUCAUACACUCGUGGAUACACAUGUAUCAUAUACGAGAUUGCGACCGUUCGGGGAUCUCCAUAGCUCCAUGGCGGUGACACCAGUAAAGAGACACUGCAAAAGAAAAACAAGAAGUAGCACUGGUAGGUCAGAGAGGCAUCAACCUUUUAGCGUCUGCUUCCCGGCUCCUCCCUUGAACAAAGUUGCUGGAUUCUUCUUCUCUCCUUUGCAGCAGGGCUUCACCUUCCUCUUGAUGUGUUUUCUCCGUUGUUGCUUCUCUCCAGCCUUUUCUGCUCCUCCCUUCGUUGCCUCUCUGCUGCCCCUCUUCACUUGUUGUAAAGAGCCUUUAUAUAGGCAACGUAGAAGAAUAAAGAUCAUGCGGGUUAACCAUAACUCUUUUUUUUGAAUUUGAAAUGAUCUUCAGAUGACGAUAACCAUUCCCAUAUUCAAACUUGUAACUGUGGGAACUAUCCACAACUUCCAGUAUGGAAUUUGAAUUUUGAAAGCUUUGAGUAUCAAUCCACGUGAUCAUGCUUCGGAGAUAAUUAAGCUAAA
Long non-coding RNA from Rosa chinensis, 1083 nucleotides. RefSeq lists it as uncharacterized. NCBI's taxonomy places the organism in Eukaryota, Viridiplantae, Streptophyta, Magnoliopsida, Rosales, Rosaceae. The record is from RefSeq and is a predicted model, not a curated record. The transcript is spliced from 3 exons.